This 253-nucleotide ribosomal RNA is filed under the name uncultured bacterium. Its description in RNAcentral is "partial 16S ribosomal RNA". It matches the Rfam family "Bacterial small subunit ribosomal RNA", at positions 524 to 776 of the family's 1533-position model. The record is from RNAcentral.
UACAGAGGUCCCAAGCGUUGUUCGGAUUCAUUGGGCGUAAAGGGUGCGUAGGUGGCGAGGUAAGUCGGAUGUGAAAUCUCAGGGCUCAACCCUGAAACUGCAUUCGAUACUGCCUUGCUCGAGGACUGGAGAGGAGAUUGGAAUUCACGGUGUAGCAGUGAAAUGCGUAGAUAUCGUGAGGAAGACCAGUGGCGAAGGCGGAUCUCUGGACAGUUCCUGACACUGAGGCACGAAGGCCAGGGGAGCAAACGGG